GAUUAACGCUGGCGGCGUGCAUAACACAUUCAAGUCGAACGGGUGUAGAAAUACAUCAGUGGCGGACGGGUGAGUAACGCGUGAGCAAUCUACCUUCCAGUGCGGAAUAACAACCGGAAACAGUUGCUAAUACCGCAUGAAAUGGCAGUACCGCAUGGUACAACCAUCAAAGGCUUGCUGCUGGAAGAUGAGCUUGCGUCUGAUUAGAUAGUUGGUGGGGUAGCGGCCUACCAAGUCGACGAUCAGUAGCCGGACUGAGAGGUUGAACGGCCACAUUGGAACUGAGAUACGGUCCAGACUCCUACGGGAGGCAGCAGUGGGGAAUAUUGGGGCAAUGGGCGAAAGCCUGACCCAGCGACGCCGCGUGAGGGAAGAAGGUUUUCGGAUUGUAAACCUCUGUCGACAGGGAAAAUGAUGAUGGUACCUGUGGAGGAAGCCACGGCUAACUACGUG
RNAcentral lists this ribosomal RNA (453 nucleotides) under uncultured bacterium. Its description in RNAcentral is "bacterial SSU rRNA". It matches the Rfam family "Bacterial small subunit ribosomal RNA", at positions 28 to 507 of the family's 1533-position model. The record is from RNAcentral.